AAUGAACGCUGGCGGCAGGCCUAACACAUGCAAGUCGAACGGAUCCUUCGGGAUUAGUGGCGGACGGGUGAGUAACGCGUGGGAACGUACCCCUUUCUUCGGAAUAGCCUCGGGAAACUGGGAGUAAUACCCGGAUAAGUCCUAUUGGGGAAAGAUUUAUCGGGAAGGGAUCGGCCCGCGUUGGAUUAGGUAGUUGGUGGGGGUAAUGGCCUACCAAGCCGACGAUCCAUAGCUGGUUUGAGAGGAUGAUCAGCCACACUGGGACUGAGACACGGCCCAGACUCCUACGGGAGGCAGCAGUGGGGAAUCUUAGACAAUGGGGGAAACCCUGAUCUAGCCAUGCCGCGUGAUCGAUGAAGGCCUUAGGGUGUAAGAUCUUUCAGUGGGAAGAUAAUGACGGUACCCACAGAAGAAGACCCCGGCUAACUCCGUGCCAGCAGCCGCGGUAAAGUGACUACUG
This 460-nucleotide ribosomal RNA is filed under the name uncultured bacterium. Its description in RNAcentral is "bacterial SSU rRNA". It matches the Rfam family "Bacterial small subunit ribosomal RNA", at positions 29 to 532 of the family's 1533-position model. The record is from RNAcentral.